This 264-nucleotide ribosomal RNA is filed under the name uncultured archaeon. Its description in RNAcentral is "partial 16S ribosomal RNA". It matches the Rfam family "Archaeal small subunit ribosomal RNA", at positions 714 to 982 of the family's 1478-position model. The record is from RNAcentral.
AGACGUCUACAUUAGAUACCCCUGUAGUCCCAGCCGUAAACUAUGCUCGCUAGGUGUCAGGCAUGGCGCGACCGUGUCUGGUGCCGAAGGGAAACCGUGAAACGUGCCGCCUGGGAAGUACGGUCGCAAGGCUGAAACUUAAAGGAAUUGGCGGGGAGCACCACAACGGGUGGAGCCUGCGGUUUAAUUGGACUCAACGCCGGGAAGCUCACCGGAUAAGACAGCGGAAUGAUUGCCGGGCUGAAGACUCUGCAUGACUAGCUG